CCAAAGACAAGUCAGUGAAAAACCGGCUUCACACUUAGUUAUCUCAUUGCUAGUUCUCGCUUUUGGUUUUUUUCAGCCUUCACUGAAUUUCUUCAUGUUCUUAUAUUUUUAAUUUCUUUUUGAAAAUUCUUAACUUGCUUCUUAUUUUUAACGUAUCACCAAUUGAGGUUUGCCCAGAAUUUUACACUGACUAUGGUGCAAAUAUUGCAUUUCGUUAAGUUUUAGCUUUUUAAGACAGGAAAUACUGCAGAAAUACUUAUGCUGUGAGGAAUCGUUCGGUAGAGAAUGCUGCAGGAGUGAGGAAAAGCAAGGGAAGGGCGACACAGUGGCAGAAUGGGAUUCAGAGAAAAUGAUGUACAAGCCUCAAGGCUUGUGGUUAGAUGCACCGAUACUGACUCUACAGAAAUGCAGAGAAUGUCAAGAACAUGUGGACCAAGACACAUGGAUUGUACAGCUGAUAACUGGAGCUGGGCUGGUACCUGUCUUUCUUUGUCUCUGGUCCUUGCCUAUCACAGCCAGGAGAUUUUUAUGGAAUUACACCGACUGUGCAUUCUAUUUAGGCUGUGCUAGCAUUUCUUCUUCUCUUGCUGUGAUAUUUCAGCUAUCCUGAAGAUUCAUAUCCACGUGGGUGAGAGAUUGCCGAUGGUCGUGAGCAGGGCAGAAGUACACUUCCCAGUCCCUGCGUACGGCCCUGAGCUAACAAGCAAAUACAGAGGGUAAGAUUCAUGGUGGUGAAGAAUAGCGACGAAAUUCAUGGGCUAACAGAAUUUGACUUAUUUAUUUAACUGAAUCUGAAAUGAAACAUAAAGCACAGUGCAAGUGAGGGUCAGAGGAAAAUUCAAUAAAAGAUUGGGAAGUGGAAAUAUUACCUGAGUGUGAAUGAAUAUCAAAUAAACACAACCUAUAUUUAUACAGUUCACUUGGGACGGCUUUCUUAAAACCGCUUCCUUUCUCUUUUUAA
Molecule: long non-coding RNA, 961 nt
Filed under: Chinchilla lanigera (long-tailed chinchilla)
Lineage: Eukaryota; Metazoa; Chordata; Mammalia; Rodentia; Chinchillidae
Description: lncRNA (ENSCLAG00000022661.1)
Source: RNAcentral